This is a non-coding RNA of Coprinopsis marcescibilis, 85 nucleotides long. NCBI's taxonomy places the organism in Eukaryota, Fungi, Basidiomycota, Agaricomycetes, Agaricales, Psathyrellaceae. The record is from the annotation of a GenBank genome assembly.
GGUGCUAUAGUGUAGUGGUUAUCACUCGGGAUUUUGAUCAUUCAUCAGUAUUCCCGAAACCCAGGUUCGAACCCUGGUAGCACCU